Molecule: ribosomal RNA, 468 nt
Filed under: uncultured bacterium
Lineage: Bacteria
Description: partial 16S ribosomal RNA
Rfam family: Bacterial small subunit ribosomal RNA
Source: RNAcentral
GACGAACGCUGGCGGCGUGCUUAACACAUGCAAGUCGAACGGAAAGGCCCUGCUUUUGUGGGGUGCUCGAGUGGCGAACGGGUGAGUAACACGUGAGUAACCUGCCCUUGACUUUGGGAUAACUUCAGGAAACUGGGGCUAAUACCGGAUAGGAGCUCCUGCUGCAUGGUGGGGGUUGGAAAGUUUCGGCGGUUGGGGAUGGACUCGCGGCUUAUCAGCUUGUUGGUGGGGUAGUGGCUUACCAAGGCUUUGACGGGUAGCCGGCCUGAGAGGGUGACCGGCCACAUUGGGACUGAGAUACGGCCCAGACUCCUACGGGAGGCAGCAGUGGGAAAUAUUGCACAGUGGGCGGAAGCCUGAUGCAGCAACGCCGCGUGCGGGAUGACGGCCUUCGGGUUGUAAACCGCUUUCGCCUGUGACGAAGCGUGAGUGACGGUAAUGGGUAAAGAAGCACCGGCUAACUACGUG